GUAGGUGAACCUGCGGUUGGAUCAUUAACAAUUAUUAUUGAGCUCUUCCUCCCUCUUUUUACCGAGGGGGUGGUAGGUUCUCCAACACUUGUGUGCACUGUUUAUUGUCUCUCGGCGUUCGAGGGUUGGGUUUUGGAUGGAGCUUGCUUCAGAUAUACCCUUGGGCUUUUAAUACGGCCUUGACCUACCCCUGAGCGCCAACUUAAAAACUUGAAUUUUAUACUAUAAGCCUUUAAUUUUAAAUUUAUAA
RNAcentral lists this unclassified non-coding RNA (250 nucleotides) under plant metagenome. Its description in RNAcentral is "partial contains small subunit ribosomal RNA, internal transcribed spacer 1, and 5.8S ribosomal RNA". The record is from RNAcentral.